Molecule: ribosomal RNA, 253 nt
Filed under: uncultured bacterium
Lineage: Bacteria
Description: partial 16S ribosomal RNA
Rfam family: Bacterial small subunit ribosomal RNA
Source: RNAcentral
UACGAACUGUGCGAACGUUAUUCGGAAUCACUGGGCUUACAGGGUGCGUAGGCGGCUUAGCAAGUCAGGUGUGAAAGCCCCCGGCUCAACCGGGGAACUGCGCUUGAAACUGCUGGGCUCGAGUCAGCUAGAGGUACACGGAACUUCCAGUGGAGCGGUGAAAUGUGUUGAUAUCAGGAAGAACACCAACGGCGAAGGCAGCUCGCUGGGACGGAACUGACGCUGAGGCGCGAAAGCGUGGGGAGCAAACAGG